Molecule: long non-coding RNA, 368 nt
Organism: Cervus elaphus (red deer)
Lineage: Eukaryota; Metazoa; Chordata; Mammalia; Artiodactyla; Cervidae
Exons: 3
Source: RefSeq, a predicted model, not a curated record
GAAGGGAUUGAUCAUUAUCCCCUUUCCAUUUUGGUGGUAAGCAAACGAAGGUUCAGAGGUCAACAUGCUUGAGAUCACAAGGGGCAACAUCCUAAGGCAGAGAAAAGAAAGCAACCACCUCAUUUCAUCAAGAAAAAUGGGCAGAGUUGGGGGGCUUUCCUGCCGGCGGUGGUGGAUUCUUUACCAACUGAGCUAUCAGGGAAGUCCACUGAUGAAUAUAUAGUAAUUUAAUCAAUGCUACUGAUGGACUGAUGCUGAAGCCGAAACUCCAGUACUUUGGCCACCUAAUUCGAAGAACUGACUCAUUGGAAAAGGUCCUGAUGCUGGGCAAGAUUGAAGGCAGGAGGAGAAGGGGAUGACAGAGGAUG